AUACACCCACAAACUUAUUUGUUAUAUUAUAUUAAUAUAAUGAAAGUUUGCACAGAUUAGAAAAACAAAGAGUAAAGGAAAUGAAGAAUAAGAUCUUCGUAUAUUGAUCAAUGAAAAAAUAAAAAGAUUCUCUAGUUGAGUUGUCUAUCCUAGCCAAUCAAAUUAAGUUUUGCUGAUAACAACUUAGCACGCCUAUAACAACAGCUCAUGACAGCUUAACUAAUUAACAUCACGCUUAUAAAAAGAUUCUCUAGCUGUAACUUGAGUUUAAUAUAAAUACGAUAACAUCUCCCUCAAGAUGGAGUUGGAGAGAAAUCAACCAACCCUAUUUUGGACGGUAGAAAUAAGAACGUUUAUGUGCAUAGGGGCUUGGUGAACAAGUCUACAAGUUGGUGCUUUGAAGCCACAUGAACAGUAGAAAUGAAACUAGCUGCUGAUUUCUCACUGUGACAAUCAAUAUCCAAGUGCUUGGUACGUUCAUAGAACAUUGGAUUCGUAGCUAUAUGAAUUACAGCUUGAUUGUCACAUCUAAGUGAAAUAGGCAAGGACACAGGGAUUUGAAGAUCGUGAAGAACAUAGGUGAUCCAUUGUAACUUACACGCUGUGGUUGCCAUGUUUCUAUACUCAGCCUCUGCAGAAGAUUGACUCACAGUUGACUGCUUUCUGGAUUUCCAUGACUUAAUUGAGGGGCCCAAAAAAAUGCAAUAACCAGUAAUGGACUUCCUAGUUGUAGAGCAGGUAGCCUAGCCAGCACAAAAUGCUGAAAGCUGUAAGGAAUUGGAUUUGGGAAAGAAAAUCCAUUUGGAUGGACAACUCUUUAGAUAUUUUAAAACAUCAAGAUGGGAUUGACAUGGAACCUGCAUAAACUGACUCAAUUGUUGGACUGAGUCGGUUAUGGCCUUGUGAGACUCAAAUACAACAAUCUCCCCACAAGCCGGUAAACUUCCGGAUGAGGCAAUGGAUCUCCCAUAUUAGGCACUAGUUUGCCCUUAACCAUAGGAGUAGAGACGAUUUUGGCAUCUUGAAGGCCUGCAUCUUUGACAAUAUCUAAGAUAUACUUCCUCUGGUUUAAGUACAAUCUGGAAUCAGACCUAGCUAUUUCCAACCCAAGAAAGAACUUUGCAUAACCCAUGUCCUUAAUUGUGAACUGGUGAUGAAGGAACUGCUUUACCUGAAUAAUCAACUUUUCAGAAACUCCAGUAAGCAAAACCUCUUCUACAUAAACCAAUAAAGCAAGAAAAGUGGAACCAGUUCCCUUGACAAAUAGGCAAUGAUCAUGGGAGGACUGUAUGAACCCAAAUUCUUUCAAUUUAGCAGUAAACUCCUUGUUCCAUUGCCUUCAUGCCAGCUUUAAACCAUACAAGGACUUCUAGAGUUUACAAACUUGGCCUCGUAAAGCUUUAUCAUACCCCUCAGGAGCAACCAUAUAAAGCUCUUCAUCAAUGUAUCCAUGCAAGAAUCCAUUAUUUACGUCUAAUUGAUGCAAGGGCCAACCUUUUGCUGCUGCAAUUGCUAAAAAUAGUCUAACUUUAACUAGCUUUGCCACUGGGAAGUAACUGUCUGCGUCGUCUAGGCCAAGUAAUUGAUUAUCCACUGUUCCAUUAGGUAAAUACUUCACCUUAUACACCCAUUUGCAGCUCAUAGGUUUUUUUGUUUAGGUGGCAGGGUAGUUAGCUGCCAAGUUUGAAUAGCUUCCAAUGUAUUCAAUUCAGUUUGCAUAGCCAGUAUCUAAUUCUUGUCAUGUUUAGCAUGAUGAUAGGAAGUAGGUUAUGGAAUCUUAGACACACUAGCUAUAAAGGCUAGGUAAGAAGGGUGAAAAGUAACUGAGGAUAGAGAAAUACCUUGGUGUGCUGCAGAAGUAAUGAAAUCAACAGUAGGCUGCUGGACUGUGGCAACAAUGUCUUGCAACCAAGCAGGUUUAGACACUUUCCUUGUACUCUUUCUUAGUGGAAUUGGAUAAGAAGAAAGCUGUAAAGGUGAGAGAGAUGAAAUGACAGGUGAAAUAGAAGUGCUAACUGGAAGUGAAAUAUCAAAAUUGUGAAAUUGAUCACGUGAAUCAUGUGAAAUUGAUGGAGGAGAUUGAGAAGCAAUAAUAUUAGAAUUAUUAGAAUGAGUAGGAGUAUUAGUAUCAAAAUAGAAGGGAAGGGGAAUUGAAGCAUUUGGAGAAAUGUCAGAUGCAGCAAAUGGAAAAACUCUCUCAUGAAGCUUCACAUCUCUAGAAAUUAAACAUUAGCGUGACUGUAAACUAUAUAGUUUGUAAGCUUUGUGAUGUGGAGCAUAGCCUAAAAGAACAGAAGAAAUUUCUUUAGGGUCAAACUUGCAUUUAUGAGGCAACACAUUUGUAGCAUAACACAAACAUCCUAUCACCUUAAAAUCGGAAUAAUCUGGUUCUUUGUGAAACAAAACUAAGUAAGGUAACUUCCAAUCUAAUACUACAGUAGGUAAUCUAUUGAUUAUAUGAGUAGCAGCAAGUAUUGAUUCAUACCAGAAUUUACUAGGAAAAUUUGCUUGGAACAUGAUAGACCUUGCCACUUGUAAUAAAUGCUUAUGCUUCAUCUCAAUAACACCAUUUUGCUAUGGGUUAUACACAUAAGAUUUUUGAUGUACAAUACCUCUAGAAUUAAAAAUUUCAGCACAAGCAGAGUUAACAAACUCAAUCCCAUUAUCAGUUCUCACUUUCUUAACUAACUUUUGAAAUUGGGUUUGUAAUACAAAUGGCACUUAGGACUUAGCAAACACCAUAUAGGUGCAUGUAUAUCUACUGUGAUCAUCAACAAUGGUAACCAUAAGAGUUGCUCCAGAAUAGAAUUAACUCUAUAAGGUCCCCACAAGUCUACAUGAAAAAGCUCAAAUAUUUCAGUAGUAGAAACUGUACUAAUAGGAAAUGGAAUCCUUUUCUGUUUAGACAAUGGACAAAUACAACAAACAUGAUGUGGCACUUUAUUUAAUUCAAGGAUAGGUAUAUGAAUAAGUUUGGAAUAGGAAGCAUGUUCCAAUCUUGAAUGCCAAAGAACUAUUGAAUUGUCUGCAAUUUUAUGAGAAUUACAAGAAACUGAACAAACUUGAUCACUAGUAGAAAAGGAUUUUGUGUCUAGGUAAUAUGCUCUAGCUCUAGCCUUUCCAACAGCAAAGACUUCAUUAUUCUACAUAUCUUGCAUUAAACACUUUUCAUGGAAAAAUUGAACAGAAACGUUACAUGUUGUAGCAAGGGUACUGACAGAAAGCAAAUUGCAUUUAAAGUUGGGAACAUGUAAAACAUUGGUUAAUAUGAGUUUGGGGUAGAAAAUUAUAUGACCUAUGUGGGUAACAGUUUGAACAAAACCAUCAUGCAAAUAAACAAGUUUUGGUUUAGUCAAAAAAUUGGUUUUAUCGAAGAAAGAAAGAUUGGCACCCGUGUGGUUGGCUGCCCCUAUGUCUAUGAUCCAGAUUCCCUUAUUCCUAACAAUCAUACUAACUAAACAAGAAUCAGAAACAUUACCCGCAAAAUCUGCAGUGUUUGCAAAGUCAGAUUCAUUACUAGGUGCCUUGCCUUUCAUGAAUUUCAUCAUUUCCUGUUGAAACAUGUGACAGAAAUUGGCACUCAAAUCCUUAUUCUUGCCUUGAGCUGUAGCAUCAGUAUCCAUUGGUGUAUCAGCAAUAUGAGCUACAGCAUUGGCCUGCUGUU
Molecule: unclassified non-coding RNA, 3664 nt
Filed under: Hevea brasiliensis (rubber tree)
Lineage: Eukaryota; Viridiplantae; Streptophyta; Magnoliopsida; Malpighiales; Euphorbiaceae
Source: RNAcentral